CAAAAACAUGUCUUUUUGAUUUUGAUUGAAGGUCUGGCCUGCCCAAUGAAGUUUAAAUGUCCGCAGUAUUUUGACUGUGCAAAGGUAGCAUAAUCAUUAGUUUCCUAAUUAGGAGCUGGAAUGAAAGGUUUGAUGAGAAAUCAACUGUCUCAUGGUUAUUGUGAUUGAAUUUUAUUUUUGAGUUAAAAAGCUUAAAUUUUAUAUAGGGACGAGAAGACCCUAUAGAGUUUUAUUAUUUUCAUUUUUAUAGGGAGAAAGUUGAGUGAUUACAAAAUUUGAAUUAAUUUUGCUAGGGGGAUGAAAAAAUUUGAUUAAAUUUCUUUUUAAUUUUUACCCUAUUGAGGGUUUUUUUGAUCCUUUUUUUAAUAUUAUAAGAUUAUAUUACCUUAGGGAUAACAGCGUAAUUUCUUUUGAAAGUUCAUAUUUAUAAAGGAGUUUGCGACCUCGAUGUUGGAUUAAAGUUAAUUUUUGGUGUAGAGGCUAAAAUAUUAGGUCUGUUCGACCUUUGAAACUUUACAUGAUCUGAGU
RNAcentral lists this ribosomal RNA (528 nucleotides) under Uloma opacipennis. RNAcentral describes it as "partial 16S ribosomal RNA". It matches the Rfam family "Bacterial large subunit ribosomal RNA", at positions 1808 to 2610 of the family's 2925-position model. Lineage: Eukaryota; Metazoa; Arthropoda; Insecta; Coleoptera; Tenebrionidae. The record is from RNAcentral.